GUUGUAUGGUUAAGUGACUAAGCGUACACGGUGGAUGCCUGGGCAGUCAGAGGCGAUGAAGGACGUACUAACUUGCGAUAAGCGCAGAUAAGGCAGUAAGAGCCGUUUGAGUCUGCGAUUUCCGAAUGGGGAAACCCAACUGCAUAAGCAGUUACUGUUAACUGAAUACAUAGGUUAACAGAGCAAACCGGGGGAACUGAAACAUCUAAGUACCCCGAGGAGAAGAAAUCAACCGAGAUUCCGGUAGUAGCGGCGAGCGAACCUGGAUUAGCCCUUAAGCACUCGGUGAAGUAGGUGAACAAGCUGGAAAGCUUGGCGAUACAGGGUGAUAGCCCCGUAACCGACGCUUCAUCGAGCGUGAAAUCGAGUAGGGCGGGACACGUGAUAUCCUGUCUGAAUAUGGGGGGACCAUCCUCCAAGGCUAAAUACUCCUGACUGACCGAUAGUGAACCAGUACCGUGAGGGAAAGGCGAAAAGAACCCCUGUGAGGGGAGUGAAAUAGAACCUGAAACCGUGUACGUACAAGCAGUAGGAGCACCUUCGUGGUGUGACUGCGUACCUUUUGUAUAAUGGGUCAGCGACUUAUAUUCAGUGGCAAGGUUAACCGUAUAGGGGAGCCGUAGCGAAAGCGAGUCUUAACUGGGCGCUCAGUCUCUGGAUAUAGACCCGAAACCGGGUGAUCUAGCCAUGGGCAGGUUGAAGGUUGAGUAACAUCAACUGGAGGACCGAACCGACUAAUGUUGAAAAAUUAGCGGAUGACUUGUGGCUAGGGGUGAAAGGCCAAUCAAACUCGGAGAUAGCUGGUUCUCCCCGAAAGCUAUUUAGGUAGCGCCUCGGACGAAUACUACUGGGGGUAGAGCACUGUUAAGGCUAGGGGGUCAUCCCGACUUACCAACCCUUUGCAAACUCCGAAUACCAGUAAGUACUAUCCGGGAGACACACGGCGGGUGCUAACGUCCGUCGUGGAGAGGGAAACAACCCAGACCGCCAGCUAAGGUCCCAAAGUAUUGCUAAGUGGGAAACGAUGUGGGAAGGCUCAGACAGCUAGGAUGUUGGCUUAGAAGCAGCCAUCAUUUAAAGAAAGCGUAAUAGCUCACUAGUCGAGUCGGCCUGCGCGGAAGAUGUAACGGGGCUAAGCAAUACACCGAAGCUGCGGCAAUG
RNAcentral lists this ribosomal RNA (1161 nucleotides) under Vibrio cholerae. RNAcentral describes it as "bacterial LSU rRNA". It matches the Rfam family "Bacterial large subunit ribosomal RNA", at positions 1 to 1210 of the family's 2925-position model. Lineage: Bacteria; Pseudomonadati; Pseudomonadota; Gammaproteobacteria; Vibrionales; Vibrionaceae. The record is from RNAcentral.